Molecule: non-coding RNA, 246 nt
Filed under: Tumebacillus sp.
Lineage: Bacteria; Bacillati; Bacillota; Bacilli; Caryophanales; Alicyclobacillaceae
Description: T-box sequence
Rfam family: T-box leader
About the family: Uncharged tRNA acts as the effector for transcription antitermination of genes in the T-box leader family.
Source: RNAcentral
UGCAGGGCGUUGAUGAAGAAGAGUAGGCAUCAUGGACACUUCAGAGAGCUGACGGUUGGUGCGAGUCAGUGUGAAAGUGCUGCUGAAUGGGCUUCGGAGCUUCCAGACCGAAACGUGAGGAGUAGGCUUUGGCGGAGGUGUCUCACCGAUACAAGAGACUAGGUAUUGAAGUUGAGUACCGAAAAGUGAGUUUGCGUCUUUGGCGCAGGCUAAUAAAGGUGGCACCACGGGUUCUUCGUCCUUUGC